Long non-coding RNA from Anthonomus grandis grandis, 1512 nucleotides. RefSeq lists it as uncharacterized. The transcript has 8 exons. NCBI's taxonomy places the organism in Eukaryota, Metazoa, Arthropoda, Insecta, Coleoptera, Curculionidae. The record is from RefSeq and is a predicted model, not a curated record.
AGGCUCUAUCUUUAAUAACAAAAAAGUUAUGCAAAAUUUACGAUCUUAUAAAGUACAUGUUAAUGGUAAAAAACCGAAAUUUUGAUUUUUCUCAAAAACUACAAUUUUUUAAGUUUUUUAUUAUUACGUACAAGGUGCCCAUUUGCAAGGAGUACUUGACAGUUUUUAAAUGAAGGCUCUAUCGUUAAUACCAAAAAAGUUAUGCAAAAUUUACGGUCUUAUAAAGUACAUGUUAAUGGUAAAAAACCGAAAUUUCGAUUUUUUUUAAAAACUGCAAUUCUUCUAGUUUUUUAUUAUUACGUACAAGGUGCCCCUUUGCAUGGAGUACUUGACAGUUUUUAAAUGAAGGCUCUAUCUUUAAUACCAAAAAAGUUAUGCAAAAUUUACGGUCUUAUAAAGUACAUGUUAAUGGUAAAAAACCGAAAUUUCGAUUUUUUUUAAAAACUGCAAUUCUCCUAGUUUUUUAUUAUUACGUACAAGGUGCCCCUUUGCAUGGAGUACUUGACAGUUUUUAAAUGAAGGCUCUAUCGUUAAUACCAAAAAAGUUAUGCAAAAUUUACGAUCUUAUAAAGUACAUGUUAAUGGUAAAAGUGCGAAAUUUCGAUUUUUUUCAAAAACUGCAAUUCUUCUAGUUUUUUAUUAUUACGUACAAGGUGCCCCUUUGCAAGGAGUACUUGACAGUUUAUAAAUGAAGGCUCUAUCUUUAAUACCAAAAAAGUUAUGCAAAAUUUACGAUCUUAUAAAGUACAUGUUAAUGGUAAAAAACCGAAAUUUCGAUUUUUUUCAAAAACUGCAAUUCUUCUAGUUUUUUAUUAUUACGUACAAGGUGCCCCUUUGCAUGGAGUACUUGACAGUUUUUAAAUGAAGGCUCUAUCUUUAAUACCAAAAAAGUUAUGCAAAAUUUACGAUCUUAUAAAGUACAUGUUAAUAGUAAAAAACCGAAAUUUCGAUUUUUUUCAAAAACUGCAAUUCUUUUAGUUUUUUAUUAUUACGUACAAGGUGCCCCUUUGCAUGGAGUACUUGACAGUUUUUAAAUGAAGGCUCUAUCUUUAAUACCAAAAAAGUUAUGCAAAAUUUACGAUCUUAUAAAGUACAUGUUAAUAGUAAAAAACCAAAAUUUCGAUUUUUUUCAAAAACUGCAAUUCUUUUAGUUUUUUAUUAUUACGUACAAGGUGCCCCUUUGCAUGGAGUACUUGACAGUUUUUAAAUGAAGGCUCUAUCUUUAAUACCAAAAAAGUUAUGCAAAAUUUACGAUCUUAUAAAGUACAUGUUAAUAGUAAAAAACCGAAAUUUCGAUUUUUUUCAAAAACUGCAAUUCUUUUAGUUUUCUAUUAUUACGUACAAGGUGCCCCUUUGCCAGAAGAACUUGACAGUUUUUAAAUGAAAGCUCUAUCUUUAAUAACAAAGAAGUUAUGCAAAAUUUUCGAUCUAAAAAAGUACAUAUUAAUUGUAAAAAAUCGAAAUUUCGAUUUUUCUCAAAAACUAUAAUUUUUUCAGUUUUUGAUAAUUACG